Molecule: ribosomal RNA, 130 nt
Filed under: Drosophila willistoni
Lineage: Eukaryota; Metazoa; Arthropoda; Insecta; Diptera; Drosophilidae
Description: 5.8S ribosomal RNA
Rfam family: 5.8S ribosomal RNA
About the family: 5.8S ribosomal RNA (5.8S rRNA) is a component of the large subunit of the eukaryotic ribosome.
Source: Rfam by way of RNAcentral
CACUCUAAGCGGUGGAUCACUCGGCUCAUGGGUCGAUGAAGAACGCAGCAAACUGUGCGUCAUCGUGUGAACUGCAGGACACAUGAACAUCGACAUUUUGAACGCAUAUCGCAGUCCAUAAUUUUCUUUU